GAUGAACGCUGGCGGCGUGCUUAACACAUGCAAGUCGAACGGAAAGGCCCUGCUUUGGUUGGGUGCUCGAGUGGCGAACGGGUGAGUAACACGUGAGUGACCUGCCCUGCACUUUGGGAUAACUCCGGGAAACUGGGUCUAAUACCGGAUAGGACCUCCUGCUGCAUGGUGUGGGGGGGAGAUUUUCGGCGUGGGGGGAGGUAGUCGCGGCUUAGCAUGUUGUUGGUGGGGUAGUGGCCUACCAAGGCGUCGACGGGUAGCCGGCCUGAGAGGGUGGACGGCCACAUUGGGACUGAGAUACGGCCCAGACUCCUACGGGAGGCAGCAGUGGGGAAUAUUGCACAAUGGGCGCAAGCCUGAUGCAGCGACGCCGCGUGCGGGAUGACGGCCUUCGGGUUGUAAACCCCUUUCGCCUGUGACGAAGCGCGAGUGACGGUACUGGGUGAAGAAGCACCGGCUAACUACGUG
Molecule: ribosomal RNA, 468 nt
Filed under: uncultured bacterium
Lineage: Bacteria
Description: partial 16S ribosomal RNA
Rfam family: Bacterial small subunit ribosomal RNA
Source: RNAcentral